Non-coding RNA from Cinara cedri, 1519 nucleotides. Lineage: Eukaryota; Metazoa; Arthropoda; Insecta; Hemiptera; Aphididae. The record is from the annotation of a GenBank genome assembly.
CACGUGUCCGUUUUAUAUAAAUACAUAAUCUUAUUUCGAGUUACUAAAUUAUUAAAUAAGUAAAUAAAAAAAAUAUAGAAUUUUUUCAAAAAAAAAAUAAAUAAAUAAAUACAUAUACAUAUUUUUAUAUUAUUUUUUACGCUGAUAAUGCUAUAUUUGCUGUUUUUAUUUUUUUAUUUGAUCCGUUAAAGUUCACAGAUGUACCUAAUGCGUAUAAAACAAAAAAUAAAUAAAAGUAAAUCAACCUAAACGUUGUGUAGAUCGCUGUGAGCUUUGGAAAGAAAAAAACCAACGAAAAAUUCGGGCAUAAAGUGUUCGCAAAACGAUCGAACAGUAAAUAUUUUUCUUACGACGUAUUUUUUUUCUUUUUGCGUAUCCGUUUCUUUUUUCUCUCUUCUCUAUCAAGCCGAGGUUGUUUUUUUUUUCAGCCACCGCAAACCUAUCCGCUGAUUGUCUUCCAUUAGAAAUAUAUAGGAAAACGAAAUCAACGAAAUGGCCAAAAUGAAUAUACGCUGUCCGGUUCGUCGCCAAAUCGAUUAUCGAUAUUUUUAUCUUUUUUUUUUUUUUUUUUUCCGUUUUUGUUUACUUUUUUUAUAUUGAACUAAUUGUAUAUUUGAAGUCGUAUACUAUUUGUUUUUUUUUUUUUUCGUGAAACUUUGUUUCCUAAGUUUUUUUUCCUAAUCCCUCCGGAUAUUGAAUUAUUUAUAAUUGACGAUAUUUGAUAAGUACAUAAUAUAUCGUUACUGCGUUUUCGAACAAAAAACCUUCAAUGAAACGUCCACGCGGAAUAAAAAAAUAAUUUUUCUCCACGGUUUUUGGCCACGUUUCACGUCUCAUUUGUUUCCAGAAAAUAAUACAAAUGGUAUUGCUUUGUUUUUUUUAUUUUGUAACUGAUUUUUCCCAGACAUAUACCCGAGAUACGUUUAUCACGAGAUGGUGUAUAUUUUUCAAAUUAUUGUAAUACCAUCUGCGGACAAAACAAAAAAAUAACAUAAUAUGACCUUUAUAGAUGUUGAUCCGACGUAAAUCUACUCGAAAUAUUAUCAUUUGUACUUUUGGUUUCAAAUGGAAAUAGAUAUUUUUUCGAAUUCUCCCAAUUCCCACCCCAAAAAAGAUAAAAAAAUUCACUGUAUAUUGUAUCUAUUAUAUAUUAAAUAGAUAUAUCUUUUCCCGUCUACUUUUGAAUACUUCAAGCACUUUAAAAACUUGCUCCCACUAGAUCAAUUUAGCUUACGCUCGGGGAUCGGAAUAUUUUCUUUUUUGACUUGUAGAAUUGAUCAAAUUUCAGUUGAAUUUUAAUAGGUACGAAUUUAAUUAUGUUUCUGCUGAACGAGGCGUUGUGUUUUUUAGCAUUAUGUAUCCCUAAAUAUCGAAAAAUGAAGUCACGGGAUAAAAUUUUUUCGAAUUCAACGUGCCUUUGUAUGGGUUAACUUUCAAUACCCUUUUCAAUCAUUUUCAUGCCCAAAGUUCAUGUUUAAUCACAUAGAAUACCUAAUUUUUAAUGUCUGCUUGUAGGUUG